RNAcentral lists this ribosomal RNA (192 nucleotides) under uncultured bacterium. RNAcentral's name for it is "partial 16S ribosomal RNA". It matches the Rfam family "Bacterial small subunit ribosomal RNA", at positions 1309 to 1500 of the family's 1533-position model. The record is from RNAcentral.
AACCCGCCUGCAUGAAGUCGGAAUUGCUAGUAAUCGCGGAUCAGCAUGCCGCGGUGAAUACGUUCCCGGGCCUUGUACACACCGCCCGUCACACCAUGGGAGCUGGUAACACCCGAAGUCAGUAGUCUAACCGCAAGGAGGACGCUGCCGAAGGUGGGAUUAGCGACUGGGGUGAAGUCGUAACAAGGUACC